Molecule: ribosomal RNA, 443 nt
Filed under: uncultured bacterium
Lineage: Bacteria
Description: partial 16S ribosomal RNA
Rfam family: Bacterial small subunit ribosomal RNA
Source: RNAcentral
CCUACGGGAGGCAGCAGUGGGGAAUAUUGGUCAAUGGGCGCAAGCCUGACCCAGCAACGCCGCGUGAAGGAAGAAGGCUUUCGGGUUGUAAACUUCUUUUCUCAGGGACGCAGAAAGUGACGGUACCUGAGGAAUAAGCCACGUCUAACUACGGGCCAGCAGCCGCGGUAAUACAUAGGUCGCAAGCGUUAUCCGGAUUUAUUGGGUGUAAAGGGCGUGUGGGCGGGAGUGCAAGGCAGAUGGGAAAACUCAGGGCUCAACCCUGGGCGUGCAUUUGAAACUGUGUUUCUUGAGUGCUGGAGAGGCAAUCGGAAUUCGGGGUGUAGCGGUGAAAUGCGUAGAUAUAAGGAGGAACACCAGUGGCGAAGGCGGAUUGCUGGACAGUAACUGACGCUGAGGCGCGAAAGCGUGGGGAGCAAACAGGAUUAGAUACCCCGGUAGUC